UACAGAGGGUGCGAGCGUUGUCCGGAAUCACUGGGCGUAAAGGGCGCGUAGGCGGCCCUUCUUGUCGCGUGUGAAAGCCCCGGGCUCAACCUGGGAAUGGCGCGCGAGACGGGGGGGCUGGAGUUCGGGAGAGGAGCGUGGAAUUCCCAGUGUAGAGGUGAAAUUCGUAGAUAUUGGGAAGAACACCGGUGGCGAAGGCGGCGCUCUGGACCGAGACUGACGCUGAGGCGCGAAAGCGUGGGGAGCAAACAGG
RNAcentral lists this ribosomal RNA (253 nucleotides) under uncultured bacterium. Its description in RNAcentral is "partial 16S ribosomal RNA". It matches the Rfam family "Bacterial small subunit ribosomal RNA", at positions 524 to 776 of the family's 1533-position model. The record is from RNAcentral.